This 72-nucleotide transfer RNA is filed under the name Ichthyscopus lebeck (longnosed stargazer). RNAcentral describes it as "tRNA-Trp". It matches the Rfam family "tRNA". Rfam says of the family: Transfer RNA (tRNA) molecules are approximately 80 nucleotides in length. Their secondary structure includes four short double-helical elements and three loops (D, anti-codon, and T loops). Lineage: Eukaryota; Metazoa; Chordata; Actinopteri; Uranoscopiformes; Uranoscopidae. The record is from RNAcentral. RNAcentral also lists the same sequence under 1 other name.
AGAGACUUAGGAUAGCGACAACACCGAGGGCCUUCAAAGCCCUAAACGGGGGUUGAACCCCCCCAGUCCCUG